This 449-nucleotide ribosomal RNA is filed under the name Chilo partellus. Its description in RNAcentral is "partial 16S ribosomal RNA". The record is from RNAcentral. Lineage: Eukaryota; Metazoa; Arthropoda; Insecta; Lepidoptera; Crambidae.
UGACUGUACAAAGGUAGCAUAAUCAAUAGUCUCUUAAUUGGUGACUUGAAUGAAAGAUUGGAUGAAAUAUAUACUGUCUCUUUAAUAAUAAUAGAAUUUAAUUUUUUAAUUAAAAAGUUAAAAUAAAUUUAAAAGACGAGAAGACCCCAUAGAGUUUUAUAUAUUUGUUAAUUAAUAUUAUUUAUAAAUUAAUAAAAUUAAAAUUAAUUUGAUAUAUUAUAUUGGGGUGAUAAAAAAAUUUAUUUAACUUUUUUUUUUAAAUUAACAUAAAUAAGUGACUAAUAAUGAUCCAAAAUUUUUGAUUAUAAGAUAAAAUUACCUUGGGGAUAACAGCGUAAUUUUUUUUUUUAGUUCGAAUAAAAAAAAAAGUUUGCGACCUCGAUGUUGGAUUAAGAUAAAAUUUAAAUGCAAAAGUUUAAGAUUUUGAUCUGUUCGAUCAUUAAAAUCUU